Molecule: ribosomal RNA, 274 nt
Filed under: uncultured bacterium
Lineage: Bacteria
Description: partial 16S ribosomal RNA
Rfam family: Bacterial small subunit ribosomal RNA
Source: RNAcentral
AUACGGAGGGUGCAAGCGUUAAUCGGAAUUACUGGGCGUAAAGCGCGCGUAGGCGGUUUUGUAAGUCGGAUGUGAAAGCCCAGGGCUUAACCUUGGAAUUGCAUUCGAAACUGCAUGACUAGAGUAUGGUAGAGGGAAGUGGAAUUCCAGGUGUAGCGGUGAAAUGCGUAGAUAUCUGGAGGAACAUCAGUGGCGAAGGCGACUUCCUGGACCAAUACUGACGCUGAGGUGCGAAAGCGUGGGGAGCAAACAGGAUUAGAUACCCUAGUAGUCC